GCACAACCGCUAAGAAAGGAAAGCUUCCACAAGGUGAGAUGGUACCAUCACUCUUCAAGUAAGGUAACACCUUAAGGUACUUGACUAUCACUUUUAUAAGCUUCUCCUUGGUUCUGGCGUUCACAUAAAUAAAGAGACAAACAUGUAUGAUUUAUAACUCCAAAUUAACCAACCCAACUGAUUCAGCAUGUUUAGUCCUUUAAUCUUUGUUCCUAGUACUACCUCCAUGAUCCCACACUCCUAACCAUAUGAGCUAAAAUGUUGCACAUUUAAUCUUUGGGAAGAUAUAAAGAAAAAGGCAUAUAUAUAGAUAGAUUAUCUUUCCAUUAGGUUGAGCGAUCUGAUCUGGCAAAUGUUUUAAAUGCUACACUCAUGAACUUAUCAUUCAUCAACUUUGUCUUGCUCACCAUGCUUAAGGUUAGAGAAGAACAAAUACACUUUUGGUUUUGUUGGUGUUUUCCACCAACAGGGCCCAUGCACUUGAUCUCUGCCUUGUCUCUAUGAGCAGGUACACUACGAGCACAAACACACUGAGCAAGAUACUGCCAACACCGCACUUCGAACUACUGGGCAAACGAAGAACAUGGGUGACACCGUAUUAAGAGGUUCAAACGUCAAGGUCCACACCUGAAUCAAAUGACGCACCUGAAGAAUGAACACGGUGAGAAGUCUUGUUCAGAAGACUUAAAACAUCGAAUCCUCGCCGAAAGGUAAAAUCGGUAGUUAUCCAUAUUUAUCCUUUCUGCAUUCCCUUUUCCCUUUAAUUACUUACUUUCCUUAAAUAGCUUAUUAAUUAAUCAUGCUAUCUUGAAAAGAAAAUAAAAAUGUUAAAAAUACUAAGCCCCAUGUGAGUAUGCUCGUGGCAUAAAACCCAUAAGUACAUUCACUGUGGUGGCGUAAAAAUAAAUAUAUUCCUGUCCUAUUGAAAUGAAAAUAUAAAAAUAAAAUUAUGAUCCUACCAAAGAGAGUAAUAUUUAUUAGAGGAAGCUCAACAUGAUAAUGACAAAGAGAUUUUAUGCUAACACUUAACCAGUUCCACAAAGCUUUGUUGUCUAUUUGAGCCCCACAGAAUUCAAGGAUCAAAGAAGACUAGCAGACGGAGGACAUUCUAAUCGCUGUCAGGGUGCUGCCGACAAUCAAAUACACCUCCGCCACCUGCUAGCUACAUCAGAAGAAAUUACGUCAAAAUCUAGCUUAGGGGAGAGCACCCCCAUUUAUCGAGCUAAGUGUUUCUACGCAUGUUUAUACUUUACUAAAAUAAUAAAAAGAUGCAUAACCAUAAAAACCCAAAUAAAGAUUUUAUGCUUAUAUAUAUAUAUCUAUGCUUAGUUUGCUAAAUAAAUAAAUAAAUAAAGUUUGCUAUGAACCCUCAUGAUAAGCUCUCACAUGGAAAUGAUGAAUAGUUUCUCUACCAUGACUAGUUCUCAAAAUUGAAAUCUCUCUCAAGUUUAGGCAUGACUGUUAUGAAUUAAGAUCUGCUCUAAACCUAAACUUGUGGGAAGAGUACAUGACCUAAAGUCUAAGUCGUUAACGGAUAUGAUAUGGGAAGGUUGAGUUGCUGUUUAUCUGUUCCUAGAGAUGCUAGAAUUCUAGAGAAUUUUAUCUUUGAAAAUCUUUAAAAAUAUUGCAUGAUGAGUUCCUGUAUGAUGAGAGUUUAAAAUCCUACCACAGCUAUAUAUACAUGCUUGCUAGACUAUGAACCAUACAUUUACUUUUUACUGCUUAUGAGCAUUAAGUGUGGUCAAGCUGUGUAGACCCUUAGGAGCUUGUCAUGCGGUUAAAAUCAAGAUUCACUUGCACCUUCACUCAUACAUGCUGCUUCUACUCCAGAAGUACGCAUCCAUAUACAUCCACUCAUUUCCAUCUCCAGAUUUACCUAAAAUUAUUCUACUCCUAUCCAGGAGAGAAUAGCCAAAAACAUUAUCCUAUCUCUGUUAUUCCCCGUGAAAUAAAUGCUCUUGAUAUUUUGGUUACUACCACUUGCUAUAUUAUUCUAGGAGGCUGAGUGCUCUGAAAAAAAGAGAAAAAAAAAAUAAUACGAGGAAAUAAAAGGGGCAAGUGCCCGGAACCUCGAAAGAAAAAAGAAAAAGUGAGACGAGAGGUAAAAAUAGACAAGUGUCCGACAAUAGAAUUAGGGGUACAAGAUACCCACCUGAGAGAAAAGAAAAAGAAAAUAUAGAGCAUCUCAUUCCUCUCAAAAACUUUCAAAGUGCAAGAAAGGUAUGUAUCCCCUCAAAAGAGCAAAAGUAGAAUUAGACUUUCACCAUUAUUUUCACCACUAUCACCAUCAUCACCAUACACCAUUCAUCCGCCACACAUGCACAUCUUGGUUUGAAUUAUUGACUUGUUUCUCUGGAUCCAUGGUUUGACUAUGCAAUAAAUGUCUUGUAAGUAUGUAUUAGCUGUCUCCCACCUAUGAGCUCCAGAUAUCAAACCUUAUUAGAGUAGGGUGAGAGAGAAGGCAAUAUCACUAUGCCUCAUACCACAAAUACUACAUACUUUAAGAGAAGGCGUAUAUUAUCACUGCCUUGGUAAGGAUCCAGAAAUACCACAAAAGAGAGACUAGAGAGAGUCAUACAAGGAAUCUCUAAGUUUUAUUUGAAAAUCUGCAAAAACUCCAGAGCUAUAGUUGAUCAAAGAACAAGAGACAUGGUGCUUGACUUGACCGUUCUAUCUUUUAACUGCUCAAGACACAAGUGACUGUUGCAAGCCCCAUCGUGAAAGGUAAUAUGAGUAAGUUUUAAAUCUUAACAAUUUACCCUAACCUAGAGAUGUGAUCUUGUUUAAAUGCAUGUGUACCUUUAACGCAUAAAACCACUGUAGAAACUCUUGAGUCCAUCCUUGCUCAGUGACGAGCAAGAGGUAAGCUUGGGGGAGUUGUUGACGGUCCUUAAGUACCAAAUAUAAUCAGCAAAUAAACAAAGAAAAGGACCCAAAUACAACCAACAUCUAAACUUAGGGUUUUAUCUGACAGAAUUCCACGAGUUUUGGUGUUUGUCUAUUUCUGCAGGGGUUAUCAGGAAAUAUGGAGAGAAGGCCCACACGUCGGGUUUACAUAGAGAUAUUAACGUGCCGCGCAAUUUUCUAUCAUCUAGAAGACUCCAGAAGCCACGGGAACGAACGGGAGGCCGAGCGGGCUCGGGGGCAUGGCGCCCGCCCACCCCCCUUGGGCGCCCGCCCAGCUAUAGAGUCCAAUCAGGACUCUCUUCGCGGAUUACACUCCACCGACCUAACGGAUCAAGAAUAACCGUUCAAUCAAUGUCGGUUUGAUCUGACGGCCUAGAUUCACUUGAGGGGACUAUAUAAGCAGACCCCCUGGCCCCUGGAGGAGACACCCCUUGAUCAUUAUUCAUUAUUUAUGGACAGAGCAAAAGCUAGGGUUUAGAGAUGAGAGCUCUCCUCUCUUCUCUAAACUAGAGUAGAUCUAGAUAGUAGCAAGAUGGAGAGCGAAGGAGGAUUAGAGGAGAGGCCGACCUGUCAGUUCUUCCUCCGGUUGUACUUCGCCAUGAUCAAGCUCUAAUCAAGCUUGCUCAUGGGAUGACUCUGGUAAUCUACUUCUAAUUCAUUAUGCAAUUACUAAUCAUGUAUGUUCUGGUUCACAACUCUUUUGAGUACUUCUAAUCUAUAGGACCCUAUAGGUUAGAUUGUAGUUUAGGUGUAAGCGUGGUGCUUAGACCUAGAUUACUUGUGGAUAUCCCCUGUCUAGCUGGAUCGUGUGGUAGGCCGCGUAGGUGACAGUUACGUUGGUCCUCUGUAGUGCACCUCUCGUUAGCAGGACGGGUAGGGUUUAUCGGCCUAUGGAUAAGCAUCCUUUGUGGUGUACUCUUAUCACGUGGUUCGUCCCAGACAUAGACAUACCCCUUUGAAGUAGAGAAAUCAUAGUUAUCCUCUCUAUUCUGCUACCAUCGCCCAUAUACUAGAUUGCUCUACUCUCUACUCCCAUUGUUAUCUUACCUUUAAUAUUGUUCUUAUUCAAUUCUACCAUAUUUCCUAUUUACACUUAUCUAUUUAUCUUGGUUAAGUUAGAGCGUAGUUGGUUCUCCCGUUUCCCUGUGGAUACGAUAAAACCUUUAACCGGGUAAAAGCUGCAACAGUAUCCGUGCGCUUGCGGAUUAUCUGUGUGCUUAUAAAUACCAUAGUACACUCUAGUGCCAUGUUGGGGAUGACAACCUAGUAUUCAAGUGGUGUUAGCAAGUGUCAACAACAGCAAGCGCCGUCUCCACCUCAGCCGCAAGAAGCACCUUGGCCAGAAGAGAUGUCAGCCGAUGUACUUGAGGAGACUGCCGAUCCAGUGGGAUCAAUCAUAUCAUCGGUAGUCUCUUCAAUCUAGACAAGCACUGCACCCCCUCAAGGUAAGGUUCUGUCCAUAAGAUUAUUUGCCGAUGGAUUUUUUUUAACUUAUAACUCAUUAUUAUUAUAUAAUUUCUAGCUGACAUCAUUCCAUCGGCAACUCCAGCCGGUCAACCUGUGGUACCAUCAGCCUCAGCUAGCUAGAGGCGAGAAAUCGCCCUAAAACAAGUAAGUCAUCUGAUCUCUAUUUUUAUCAUCACUAGUACUUGAUCAUCAAAUAACUUAUUUUAUUUUCUUUUCUAGGAACAAGACUCCCCGGACAGCUUGUUCUCUUUUGCUAUUGAAAUUUCUGAUGACGAAGGCGAGGAAGCAAGCUCUUCUCAAGCAGUAGGGAUUUCAUCGGCAGAAAUCAGAGCUAAACUGGAGGAUCUGCUGGCCCUGCUUCAUCAGGAUACAACUCAAUUAGUCGACAACUCUGAUCCAGCAAAAGCUCUAUUCAAAGCUCUCAGAGGUCAAAUUCCUGCCGAUGCCGAAGAGACUCUUUUUCAGGCUGCACACUUAGAGAGCCGCCAGCUUCAGUAUCAAAAAGCUACCCAACGUUUUGCUUAUAGAGCCACUCAUGCCCACCUCUCGGAGGAGGUAAUGAAAGUGAAGCACCUUGCCGAUGAGAAACACAAGAGCAUCGGCAUUCUAAAAUCCUCAGGAGAGACGCUGAGACAAAAGAUUUCUGACCUAUCGGCAAGAAGGGAAACCCUGUUGGCCGAGCUUAAGCAAGUAGAAGAGGCUCUUUUCCAAGCUCAGCAAGAAGAGAAUCAGCUACCCGAAAUGAUAAAGACUCUCAAACAGGAGCGGAACAUUCAAGCCCGCAAGGCACUGCAGAUGAAGAAGAAGCUGAAGCCAGUGGAAGGUUCUGCCGAUGAAGACAUCAAGGAGAUAAAAGAAGCCGACCAAAUUCGCCUGCGCGCCAUAUCGGCGAUUCAAGCUUGACUGAAUGUAUAAGCUCUUCAUCGGCGGCGUGUUUUGCUCUUCCUUCAGAAACUUCUAAUUAUUUUGGUCUAGCCGAUAGGAUUGUUAUCGGCAUCCCUUUUAAAACAUCGUAUUUAGUCCCAGAUACAUUUUAAUCUGGCCGAUAGGAGUGUUAUCGGCACUUAAACUUUUAUGCAUCGACCCAUAUGCUUGGGUAAUACUUUUUAAAUAUUUUCCAUUCAAUGCUCUAGGAAGUUCAACUCCUUCGAGAGUUUCCAAAAUAUAGGCAUUACCAGGAGCAGACCGAUUUAUCUGAUAAGGACCUUCCCAAUUGGAAGACCACUUGCCAAACUUUGAACUUUUAGUCCCAAUCGAUAAUAUUAGUUUCCAUACCAAAUCUCCAUCGGCAAACUCCUUAGCCUUUACUUUUUUAUCAUACCACUUAGCAACUCUCUUUUUAUUUUCUUCUAUACUUAUCAAAGCUUUAAGCCGAUGCCCUGCUAAAUCAUCUAACUCAUCUUUCAUCAAAGUAGCAUAGUCAUCGGCAUUCAACUGAUCCUGGAAAGAUAGUCGCCUAGACCCAGUCUUAAUUUCCCAUGGUAGUACUGCAUCGUGCCCAUACACCAACUGAUAAGGUGAAACUUUGGUCGACCCAUGACUAGCCAUCCGAUAUGACUGUUGACGGUCCUUAAGUAUCAAAUAUAAUCAUCAAAUAAACAAAGAAAAGGAUCCAAAUAAAAUCAACAUCUAGACUUAGGGUUUUAUCUGACAGAAUUCUACGAGUUUUGGUGUUUGUCUAUUUCUACAGGGGGUUAUCAGGAAAUAAGGAAGAAAGGCCCACACGUCGGGAUUACAUAGAGAUAUUAAUGUGCCGCACAAUUUUCUAUCAUCUAGAAGACUCCAGAAGCCACGGGAACGAACGAGAAGGCAAACGGGCUCGGGGGCAGGGCGCCCGCCCACCCCCCUUGGGCGCCCGCCCAGGUGUUUCCACCAAUCACAGAAUGGAGUACACCAUUGCAAAGAUCUCGUCGAGCUGAUCGAAAUGCAUAUAUUACUUGCUAUAUUUGGAGUUCGGAAUCAAAAGAUAUUAAUAAAAGAAGGACUCCACAUAAAAGAGCUGCGGGAUUAAUUGGGCCCAAAUCAGAUUUUGGUCCAUUAAGGCCUAUGUGCAUUUUAAUAAGAUAUGGUGGAAAGUUUAGUACCACAUCGCCUGCUGAACCAAGAACGCAUAGAGGAGGAGGACUAUAUAAGGAGACCCCCUGGCCCCUGGAGAAGACAAGAAAUUAUCAUAGAGAUUGAGGAGUGCCCUCGAAGGAAAACCUCUUCUCUAAUUAAUAUUUCUUUUUAGGCUUAGCAACCAAUGUAAGGUAGAAAUAGAUCUUCUAGUUUCUACUAGAUUGAGAGAGAUAGAGUGGAGGUGUGGAUCGGAGGAAGGCCGGCCUGUCGGUGUCUACUCCGAGUUGUACCUGCGGGAUCAAGUCUCCUAACCCGAGGCUUGCUUCUAAGAUUCUUCAGUAAUUCGACUUCUAAUACUAGUAAGUUCUUGUUUUAUUGUUCUUUGGUUUAUGAGUUUACUUUAAUCCUCUUCCGGUUGAGUAUUAGAGUAAUCACUUGUUAGCGUAAACGUGGUGUUUAGGCUAGGGUACUCAUAAAUAUCCCCUGACUAGCUAGACCGUGGUAGUAGCGAGGAACGUGACAUUUCCGAGUUACCUUUGUAGAUCACAUCUCGUUAGCAGGACGGGUAGGUUUAUAAGUGCGGGUCGAACAUCCUUUGUGUUGUCUAGAUUCCGUGAGCCUCCCCAAUAGAACAGUAGAUCAUCCUUACCAAGGUUAGAACGAGACUAAGGUUGCAGUCUUCUCUAUACAUCACUCACAUCGAGAGACAUUCUUUGUAGCCUAAAGGGAUAGUAGCAAUAGAUUUGGUUAGUCAGAUGCACCCUUUCUCCCAGUGGUAAAAAUAUAAAUACGAUAACUCUGGAUAACCUCCCGGGUGAAAUGCUCACCGAUAUCCGUGCGCUUGCGGAUCAUUUUCUAAUUGCGUUACCAAAUAUCAACAAGCAUUUCUGGCGCCGUUGCCGGGGAGAAAGACGGUUUGCUGAGAUACCUUUGAGUCUUGCUGUUAUCCUAUAUUAUACUUUUAUACUUUUAUUAUUUUAUCUUUUUAUUUUUAUCUUUAUGGAUAACCUAAAUUCCAUACCUAUAUUAAAUUCUUUGCACCUUCGGAGACCAGCCAUAGACCAUGGGAGUCAACACGUCCUGCCCCUAAUUAUGAUCUGUGUCCGGAGUUGAUUGCAAUAGGUCAAAACCAACCCUUUUCUAUAGCCGAGGUCCUAUCUUUUAAUCAAGAAGAUAAUGCACUUUUAGCUACACCUAGGGAAUCUAUUAAUCUUUCUAUACAUUUUGGUUUAGACCUAGCCCAACAAGACCAUGAUUUUUCUCGAUAUUUUUACAUUGGUCUUAAUCAUAUAACCAUUGGUAGAGUCUUUCUUUCUUUAUCUAUUAGUAAAGGAAGGUAUGUCUUCAUUUGUGGACAUCCUUCUCGUACUAGUCUUCAUAGAAAAAUCUUAGAGAUAGAGAAGGAAUCAUCUCCCAUACAAGGAGAGGAAGUUUCAAUAGCUGAUUUCCAAACAUUUCAAUCCCAUGAUUCGGCUAUCCAACCCAUCCUUAAGCUUAAUAAAUUCUACUAUGCUCUUUCUCUUGAACCUCCUGAUAAUCCUAUGAAUCUCUCUAGACAUACCAUGCAUAAGAAGGAGGAUCGAGAACAGCAACAUCAAUGGCUAAAGGGCAUUAAAAAUCCAUGUGCUAUCACCAUUGAAUGGAUAGAUAAAACAAACUUGAGAGACAAUCCUAGAGGAAUUUUAAGCAUUCAUGAAGAAUCAUCCUUGGUGUUUGAGAAUGAGAGAAACAACAGUGAGCAUGAAAGUUAUUUCAUAAAUACCUUACCAAGUCCUUGCUCUUAUAAAACAUCUCCCCAAUCAAUUGGUCUUUCCAUCCUUACCACAUUUGGGAUCUCCAACCCCCUCUUCCUUUCUAUUUAUAAAAACUUUAAAAGGGCGGUUGUCGAUGCAUAUGUCUAUAAUAAAUAUUGCAGAUCUCGUUGAGUUGAUCUUGAUAUAGGUAGAUGUUGGAGGGGAAACCACUUCACCAACAUAACUUGAUGGUUUCCCAAGGAUAAGCUUAGCGUCCUUAAACAAGCACUUAUCAGAUCGUAACAUGAACUUUUAAUUAUUUGCAACACUGCCUUGUGUAUUGAGCAUAUUGAGAUAAUUGUAGAAAUAUUCCUUCGGGUAUUCCUGCCACUAACCUUUCUAGGAUUGGAGCAAGAAGAUCGGAUGAAUGACAAGCACAAGGUAUGUGCAACCAACCAUCAUACAACAUUGAAUUAAAUUCAUCCAAACUUGAAUUUUGCAAAAUUCAAGCUUGGGGGAGUACUUUACAUAAAAACAUCCUUUGCCAUGUUGCUAUGUUGGUUGUCCCUACCUUUGAAACAUGCUUGAUUUGUUAAAUACUAGUCACACUACUUCAUCUCCAUUUGAGUAGAUCUCUAUAAAUGCCAUCAUGCUACCUAUGUUUAUCUUAAGUAAGUGUUGGUUUGGAAGUACUGGACAUACUUCCAUUGGCAUUUAAAUUAAGCGUGGUGCUUAGGUUAAAUAGCCUUCCUUAAUCUGAUUAGACAUGGAGUCUAGUUUGGUUAUUGAACUAAAAACUGCUUGUGUAGACAUUGGUAUAUUUUUUCGGACUAACCCCUGCAGAAAAACAUUCAAUAUCAAUUUGGGAAGUCCUGAGAUACAAACUCACAUUGGAGAUAAAAUUUAAUGACUUGCACAAGGAAGACAUAGCUCACUCAUCAUAAAGAGAUGAUUCAUGGAGGGUGCCACAAACAUGAUGCACAACCACUAAGAAAGGAAAGCUUCCACAAGGUGAUACUAUACCAGCACUCCUCAAUAACAUCUUAAAGUACUUGAUUAUCACUUUUAUAAGUUCUCCUUGGUUCUAGCAUUCACAAAUAAAGAGACAAACAUGUAUGAUCUGUAACUCCAAAUUAACCAACUCAAUUAAUUCAACAUGUUUAGUCCUUUAAUCUUUGUUCUUAGUACUACCUUCAUGACCCCACACUCCUAAUCAUAUAAGCUAAAGUAUUGCACAUUCAAUCUUUGGAAGAUAUAAACAAAACAUAAAUAUAGAUAGAUUAUCUUUCCAUUAGGUUGAGCCAUCUGAUCUAACAAAUGUUUUAAAUGUUACACUCAUGAUCCAUCAACUUUGUCUUGCUCACUAUGCUUAAGGUUAGAGAAGAACAAAUACACUUUUGGUUCUGUUGGUGUUUUCCACCAACAGGGCCCAUGCACUUGAUCUCUGCCUUGUCUCUAUGAAUAGGUACACUUCAAACAAAACAUGGAGGAGUUUUACAUCUCCCAGAUUUCACCAAGUGAAGAACCGGGAUCUACGAGCACAAACACAAUGGAGAUCAGACACUUAGUUUCCCAAAGGAAAUAUUGAAGAACCUCUGUGUCCGAGUUGGUACCUUGUACGCUCCAGCAAACUUCGUGGUGAUAGAGACUGGUACUGAGGAGAGGGCACCCAUCAUCUUAGGGAGGCCAUUCCUAAACACCAGAGCUGUCAUCUACGCUAAUGCUGCCCAGAUCAGUCUCUACAUCAAGGGGAAGAAGGAGACUUUCCUUCAAGAACAAGAUUACACAAGCUUCAGAGCAAUCCCGACAUGAACCAAGGAAGAGGACCAACAGGAGGAACAGGAACAAGUAAAUGUGGACCGAGUCAGCUAAGAUGGUCACUGCAGCUCAAGGAGGUCAAGAUCGUCGACUCAAGUCACCUUUCUUGAUCAAGAAGGACGACCCUGGUGUUCCAAGAAUCGAAUGCACAAUCAACAGAUACUAUUUUUAGAAGACACUCUACGACACCGGACCUGACGUCAACAUAAUGGCUGCAGUCACUUAUCAGCUCCUGCAUGGAACCAUGCUCCUACAACCAACAUACAUUCAGCUCCAGAAAAUUUUCAGGUCAUUGACAUGGGAGAAGACGAGUAUGAUCCACCUACCAUCCUUGGAAGACCGUUCCUCAAAUACUAUCAAAGCCAUCAUCUAUAUUGGAACCGGAGAAGUCCACAUGCACUUCCCCUCUAAGAAGGCUAGGACAAGACAACACAACCGCAACCAGAGGAGGCAAAUCAUCAAGGACGGAUGGGUAGACUACGAAGGAGAAGUGAUAAGGACUGAAGACAUACAACUUGAACAGAACUGUUCUGAGGAGACCAUAGCACCGACUCAGGUGUGGAGAGAGAAGAUAGUUAUACACGAAGAGGAGGCGCCGCCGGAACCACCGACUACGCCAUCCAACAAAUCCCAGGACGACUGAGAAACGGAGAGUCCCGUUCGGAGGACUUAAAAACAUCGAACGCCUUGCCAAGAGGUAAACUUGGUAGUUAUCUUUUUCCUUUCAAUUAUUCAAUUGUAGUUUGCUUAGUUAAUCAGGUUCAUAUCAUCUCGAAAAGAAACUAAAAAAUGUUAAAAAUAGUAAGCCCCAUGUGAGUAUGCUCAUGGCAUAAAACCCAUAAGUACAUUCACUGUGGUGGCAUAAAAAUAAAAUAAAUAAGUUUUCAUCUUACAAUAAAAAUAUAAAAAUAAUAAGUGCAUGAUCCUGCUAAAUAAGUAAUAUUUAUUGAGGAGGCUCAACAUGAUAAAGGCUAGAUAUUUAUGCUAACACUUAACUAGUUCCACAAAGCUUUAUUGUCUAUUUGAGCUCCACAGAAUUCAAGGAUCAAAGAAGACUAGUAGACGGAGGACAUCCUAAUCGCUGUCAGGGUGCUGCCGACUUUCAAAUACACCUCCACUACCUGCUAGCUACAUUAGAAAAAAUUACGUCAAAAUCCAGCUUGGGGGAGAGCACCCCCAUUUAUCCAGCUAAGUGUUUCUACUCGCGUUUAUACUUUACUCAAAUAAUAAAAGAUGCAUAAUCAUGAAAACCCAAAUAAAGAUUUUGUGCUUUUAUAUAUUUUUGCUUAGUUUGCUAAAUAAAUAAAUAAAUAAAGUUUGCUAUGAACCCUCAUGAUAAACUCUCACAUGGAAAUGAUGAAUAGUUGCUCUGCCAUGACUACUUCUUAAAAUUGAAAUCUCUCUCAAGUUUAGGCAUGACUGUUAUGAAGUAAGAUUUGCUCUAAACCUGAACUUGUGGGAAGAGUACUUGAUCUAAAGUCUAAGUCGUUAACGGAUAUGAUAUGGGAAGGUUGAGCUGCUGUUUAUCUGUUCCUAGAGAUGCUAGAAUUCUGGAGAAUUCUAUCUUUGAAAAAUCUUUAAAAUAACACAUGAUGAGUUCCUAUAUGAUGAGAGUUUAAAAUCCUACCACAGCCAUAUAGACAUGCUUAUUAGACUUUGAGCCACACAUUUACUUUUUACUGCUUAUGAGCAUUGAGUGUGGUCAAGCUGUGUAGACCCUUAGGAGCUUGUCAUGUGGUUAAAAUCAAGAUUCACUUGCACGUUCACUUAUACAUGCUACUUCUACUCCGGAAGUACCAUCCACAUACAUCCACUCAUUUCCAUCUCCAGAUUCAUCCAAAAUUAUUCUACUCCUAAUCCGGGAGAGAAUAGCCAAAAACAUUUUCCUAUCCCUGUUAUUCCCUGUGAAAUAAAUGCUCCAGUUAUUUUGGUUACUACCACUUGCUACAUUAUUUCAGGAGAUGAGUGCUCUAAAAAAAAGAAGAGAAAAAAAGAGAAAAAAAAGAAUAAUACGAGGAAAUAAAAAGGGGCAAGUGGCCGGAACCUCAAAGAAAAGAAAAAGUGAGACGAGAGGUAAAAAUGGACAAGUGUCGGACAGUAGAAUUAGGGGUACAAGAUACCCACCUGAGAGGAAAGAAAAAGAAAAUAUAGAGCAUCUCAUUCUCCCCAAAAAGCUUCAAAGUGCAAGAAAGGUAUGUAUCCCCUUCAAAGAGCAAAAGUAGAAUUAGACUUUCACCAUUGUUAUCACCAUACACCAUUCAUUCGCCACACAUGCACAUCUUGAUUUGACUUAUUGACUUGUUUCUCUGGAUCCAUGGUUUGACUAUGCAAUAAAUGUCUUGUAAGUAUGUAUGCUUUAUCUCCCACCUAUGAGCUACAGAUAUCAAAACCUUAUUAGAGUAGGGUGAGAGAGAAGGCAAUAUCACUAUGCCUCAUACCAAAAAUACCACAUAAAUUGAGAGAAGGCAUAUACCAUUACUGCCUUGGAAAGGAUCCAGAAAUACCACAAAAGAGAGAUUUUAGAGAGUCAUACAAGGAAUCUCUGAGUUUUAUUUGAAAAUAUACAAAAACUCCAAAGCUAUAGUUAAUCAAAGAAUAAGAGACAUGGCGCUUGACUUGACCGUUCUAUCUUUUAACUACUAAAGACACAAGUGACGGUUGCAAGCCCCAUGGUGAAAGGAAAAAUGAGUAAGUUUUAAGUCUUAACAGUUUACUCUAACUCAAAGAAGAGAUCUUGCUUGAAUGCAUGUGUACUUUUAAGGCAUGAAACCACUGCAGAAACUCUUGAGUCCAUCCUUGCUCAGGGACGAGCAAGAGGUAAGCUUGGGGGAGUUGUUGACGGUACUUAAGUACCAAAUUUAAUCAUCAAAUAAAUAAUGAAAAGGAUCCAAAUGCAACCAACACCCAGACUUAGGGUGUUAUGUGAUAGAAUUCCACAAGUUUUGGUGUUUGUCUAUUUCUGCAGGGGGUUAUCAAGAAAUAUCAAGAAAAGGCCCACACGUCGGGUUUACAUAGAGAUAUUAACGUGCCGCACAAUUUUCUAUCAUCUAGAAGACUCCAGAAGCCACUGGAACAAACGGCAGGCCGAGCGGGCCUAGGGGAAGGGCGCCCGCCCUCCCCCCUUGGGCGCCCGCCCAGGUGUCUCAACCAAUCACGUUCAACCUCACGGAUUAUGCUCCACUGACCUAAGAGAUCAAGGAAAACCGUGCGAUUAAGGUCGGUUUGAUCCGACAGCCCAGAUUCACUUGAGGGGACUAUAUAAGCAGGCCCCCUAGCCCCUGGAGAGACAAUCCUCAUUAUUCAUUAGCAUAUUUUCUAGAGAGGAUUCAGAGAGAGAGGUUCUGUGGGGUUAU
RNAcentral lists this long non-coding RNA (13336 nucleotides) under Sorghum bicolor (sorghum). RNAcentral's name for it is "long non-coding RNA (SBIC_LNC000881)". Lineage: Eukaryota; Viridiplantae; Streptophyta; Magnoliopsida; Poales; Poaceae. The record is from RNAcentral.